RNAcentral lists this ribosomal RNA (253 nucleotides) under uncultured bacterium. RNAcentral describes it as "partial 16S ribosomal RNA". It matches the Rfam family "Bacterial small subunit ribosomal RNA", at positions 524 to 776 of the family's 1533-position model. The record is from RNAcentral.
GACAGAGGUGCCGAGCGUUAGGCGGAAUCACUGGGCUUAAAGCGUGUGUAGGCGGGCGGGCAAGUACCUUGUGAAAUCCCACGGCUCACCCGUGGAACUGCUCGGUAUACUGGUUGUCUUGAGCCUUCUAGGGGCGAGUGGAACAAAUGGUGGAGCGGUGAAAUGCGUAGAUAUCAUUUGGAACGCCAAUGGUGAAAACAACUCGCUGGGGAAGUGCUGACGCUGAGACACGAAAGCCAGGGGAGCGAACGGG